Misgurnus anguillicaudatus (oriental weatherfish) is the source of this 1195-nucleotide long non-coding RNA. RefSeq lists it as uncharacterized. The record is from RefSeq and is a predicted model, not a curated record. NCBI's taxonomy places the organism in Eukaryota, Metazoa, Chordata, Actinopteri, Cypriniformes, Cobitidae.
UGUUUAUUAUACUUUGUUUCUUGGUAAUUAUUUUAAAUAUUUGUAUAUGUUUUUAUUGAAACAUUUAAUGAUAAAAAGCUAAACAAUGAACGUUUUUCCCCUACAGAUUUUUUGUCAGCAUUUUAAUUCAGAGGUGGAUUCCAGUGGGUGGAGGAGGGCCAUUAUACACAUUUUUUUUCUUUCAGGUAAUAACUUGUUUGUUUGUUUAUUAUACUUUGUUUCUUGCGUAAUUAUUAUAAUUAUUUGUAUGUUUUUAUUGAAAGUAACAUUUAAUGAAAAAAAGCUAAACAAUUGUAACCCACCUUAAAGUUUGAUUACUAAGACCAUAACUUUAGUAUUAGAUUGCUCAAUAACUAUAUAAACAUAUACAUAUUAAGACACAGAAUAAAUAUAAAUAUAGCAAGAACAAAAAGCUGUUUACAUUAUAUGUUUUUAUUUUUCAUUUUCUUUUGGUCUGCUUGAAAGUGUUUAAUAAAAGACUUUAAAUUUGUUAUAGCCAACUUCAAGGUGACUGGUUUGUUUUUGAAUAUAUUUGAAAAGACUGUUAUUUUGGUGCAGUUAUCUCCUAGGUGACGGGUUUGUUUGUUAUUCUGGAGACUCCACUUGAAUUGUAAUUAGACGUUAUUCAUAACCCUUUUAAGAAAAAUUAUACUUUUGUAAUAUAAUCUAACAAUUUUUAUAAAUCUGAAUCAGCUUACCAUUCCUGGUACAUAUUUUUUCUACAUAUUGUAGAGGCUAGAAGACCUGUGUUGUUUUAUCCCAAACUCCGAUUGGUUUUUUUAUUGAGCUGGAACACUGGAUGGCGAGUCAGUCCCAUUGGAUUUCGAUUGAACUGGUUUUCCUUUUCACACUGGACAACCGAACCCCUUGAACUCUACCCUUGGAUCAACCUGUGUUCCUUGGACACAGAUAAGCCUUCACACAUACACUGACAUAUACACCUUACAUACCCGGGUACAGGACUAUUUCUUUUCUUUUAAUCAUUUUAUUGGAAAGCUUUUAUUUGAAACUUUGGGAAAAGAGCUCUUAUUUAUUUAUUUUAUUAUUUAUUUAUGUGUAUUUAUUAUUAUUAUAUAUUUCUCAAUAUUUAAUAUUUCUCAAUAUUUAACUGUGGUUCUCUCUUUUGUGAUCAGAAUGAAAUAUUUUAAAUAAUUUAUUGCUGUAAUAAAAUUACUGCAUUUUUCUUCCACUCUUA